UGCUCUCGGGUGACGAGUGGCGGACGGGUGAGUAAUGUCUGGGAAACUGCCUGAUGGAGGGGGAUAACUACUGGAAACGGUAGCUAAUACCGCAUAACGUCGCAAGACCAAAGAGGGGGACCUUCGGGCCUCUUGCCAUCAGAUGUGCCCAGAUGGGAUUAGCUAGUAGGUGGGGUAACGGCUCACCUAGGCGACGAUCCCUAGCUGGUCUGAGAGGAUGACCAGCCACACUGGAACUGARACACGGUCCARACUCCUACGGGAGGCAGCAGUGGGGAAUAUUGCACAAUGGGCGCAAGCCUGAUGCAGCCAUGCCGCGUGUAUGAAGAAGGCCUUCGGGUUGUAAAGUACUUUCAGCGGGGAGGAAGGCGAUAAGGUUAAUAACCUUGUCGAUUGACGUUACCCGCAGAAGAAGCACCGGCUAACUCCGUGCCAGCAGCCGCGGUAAUACGGAGGGUGCAAGCGUUUAUCGGAAUUACUGGGCGUAAAGCGCACGCAGGCGGUCUGUCAAGUCGGAUGUGAAAUCCCCGGGCUCAACCUGGGAACUGCAUUCGAAACUGGCAGGCUGGAGUCUUGUAGAGGGGGGUAGAAUUCCGGGUGUAGCGGUGAAAUGCGUAGAGAUCUGGAGGAAUACCGGUGGCGAAGGCGGCC
This 651-nucleotide ribosomal RNA is filed under the name Klebsiella sp. Its description in RNAcentral is "bacterial SSU rRNA". It matches the Rfam family "Bacterial small subunit ribosomal RNA", at positions 79 to 726 of the family's 1533-position model. Lineage: Bacteria; Pseudomonadati; Pseudomonadota; Gammaproteobacteria; Enterobacterales; Enterobacteriaceae. The record is from RNAcentral.